This 495-nucleotide ribosomal RNA is filed under the name uncultured bacterium. Its description in RNAcentral is "partial 16S ribosomal RNA". It matches the Rfam family "Bacterial small subunit ribosomal RNA", at positions 28 to 507 of the family's 1533-position model. The record is from RNAcentral.
GACGAACGCUGGCGGCGUGCCUAAUACAUGCAAGUAGAACGCUGAAGGAGGAGCUUGCUUCUCUGGAUGAGUUGCGAACGGGUGAGUAACGCGUAGGUAACCUGCCUGGUAGCGGGGGAUAACUAUUGGAAACGAUAGCUAAUACCGCAUAAUAGUAGAUGUUGCAUGACAUUUGCUUAAAAGGUGCAAUUGCAUCACUACCAGAUGGACCUGCGUUGUAUUAGCUAGUUGGUGGGGUAACGGCUCACCAAGGCGACGAUACAUAGCCGACCUGAGAGGGUGAUCGGCCACACUGGGACUGAGAAACGGCCCAGACUCCUACGGGAGGCAGCAGUAGGGAAUCUUCGGCAAUGGACGGAAGUCUGACCGAGCAACGCCGCGUGAGUGAAGAAGGUUUUCGGAUCGUAAAGCUCUGUUGUAAGAGAAGAACGAGUGUGAGAGUGGAAAGUUCACACUGUGACGGUAUCUUAACAGAAAGGGACGGCUAACUACGUG